CCCACCUCCUGGAUUACUGAAGUCUCACAAAAGCACCUCGUGUAUUGGAGACAAGUACAAAGCUGGGACCUUCAGAGGUCCCUGAUUCUGAAGAGCUGCAGUCUAAACUAUGAUCCAACAGACUGUACUUUGAGAGGUCAUAAAUGGCUCUUCAGCUGAGUUAAAAACUUAUUCUUCUAUGUAUUUUUCCUUAUCCUUGUGUGAAUCUGGUGAUCUAGGUAGGAAAGGGAGACACAGUUUUCAACAGUACAGAAUAGUAUCACCUGGAGUGGCCAUUUGAACCACUGGUCAGCUGCAGAUAUCAGAUGCUCAGAAAUGGGAGAAUUUAUGCAUGCCAAGAAGUGCUCCCUUUCAAAACUCAGUCUUCACUGAGGAAAUCAAAGAGCCAAGUGACGCCUUGGACUGCAGAUGUAGAUUUUUACCCUCAGUGCCUGCCAGGUGAAGGCAUCUCCUGACAAAGAGCAAACAAAGCUUUUGAAAAAGCAGUUUCCUUCCUCCCCAACUAAGGAAUAGGAUCUAGAGACAUAUGUGUACCUACAGCCUAAAAAAACCUACCAGUGUUGAUACAAAAUGUUUAAAACCAGAAAGAAUAUGAAUCUGUGAGAAAGCUCAAACACACAGAAAACUAUUUUAAGAAAGUAAACAGUUUUGCAUAACAUGGAUAAGUAUGGACAAAGUUGCUGCAGAGGAGACUGAAAUAACUUCAAGAGCUCACAGAAGUGCACCUAUCAAGCAGCUCAGACCUAUUUUCAAAAAUUUAAAUCCUCAUAUAUUGACAAUAAAAUAUACUGGGGGCAUACUG
Passer domesticus (house sparrow) is the source of this 802-nucleotide long non-coding RNA. RefSeq lists it as uncharacterized. The record is from RefSeq and is a predicted model, not a curated record. NCBI's taxonomy places the organism in Eukaryota, Metazoa, Chordata, Aves, Passeriformes, Passeridae. The transcript has 4 exons.